CCCCUUCAUCCUCCCCCGGUCCGCCAUCGUCGCCACUACACCACCGCGAGGAAACCUAACCCUAGUAGCACCUCCGCCGCCAUGCCCCCCACACCCUCCGCGUCUCCUCGGGCCACCACCGAACGAGUCCGAACACCCCACCCCACCCCACCCCACCCCACCACACCACGCCGCCACUCACCACCGACCGGAAAUCCCCCGAUUGCCGCCGAAUUUCCACCGGAUUUGUCCGAAUCGGGGCGGCUCCGCGCGCGCGUGGGGGUAGAGGGCGCCCGCCUCCGGCUCAGCGCGCGAGGCGCGGGGAGGCUCUCCGCGUCCGUACAGCCGCUCUCGCCAACGGCCGCGCGGGCUGCGCGGAUCUGCGCGCUGCGCGAGCGCCGGUGGCCGCGGCUUCGCCUCGCGAGCUCUCGGGGAGAAGAGAGAGAGAGAGAGAAGAGAGAGACUGUUCGGGCCGUGGAAAUGGGAAGGCGCGGCCCUUUUGUAUCGCGGGCGGAUCUGACCGCCGACAGGUGGGGCCAUCCGGUUACUGGGCCCACGUAUCAGUGAUACGUGGCGGGGUUCUCGUGGGUGCACUGCAUUUGCUCAUCUCGUCCCGUUUCUACGUGACUCUUCGAGUACCCGCGGCCAAUGACAGGUGGGGCCGUGCUGUUCGCGGGCCCACGGGAUGAGAGGGCCAGGGGGGUCGGCGAGACGGCGUGGGGUCCAUCUGUCAGCGGCGUUAGAGAUGUUGCGCGCGUCAGGUCGGUGCGCGUUGCUUCGAUUUAUUUUCCGUGGCGUCACAGACAUGUGGGAACGAUUUUACUGGGGCCCCACAUGUCAUUGGGUGGGUAGGAUUGGUACAGCUCGCUCGUCGUGUGCCUGGGUUGCCCUGACGUGCGCUUUGACCGCCGAGAGACGCGCACGAGACAGGGGAGGGACAGGGUGGGCCCACGGUGUCCCUCACGGGGGUGUGCUGUUUCCCGGUGUGUUUGCGCAAUCCUGUACCCACCCGGGCCCACCUGUCAGUGAGCAAGUGGUCGGGGCGGUCAGCUACGUGAUGGCGUAGGUUUGACUUCCCGCCGUUAAUGGUAGGUAGACGCCUACCAAAUUAGCCCCUGUGGGGGUCCACCUGUCAGUAUGGGAGUAGAAUCCAGCGUUAGCUUAAUUGGGAUAUCCCCUCCAUCCUCUUUAAUUUCUUACUAGCAUAUUCGAUCAUUAUAGCUAUGUAAACCACGAGAUGAAUCUUUUGAGCAUAAUUAAUUCGUCAUUAAUAUAUGCGGGUUACUAUAGCAUUUAUGUCUAAUCAUGGACUAAUUAGGCUCAAAAGAUUCAUCUCGCGAUUUUCCCUUUAACUGUACAAUUUGUUUUUUUUAAUCUAUAUUUAAUGCUCCAUGGAUAUGUCUAAAGAUUUGAUGUGAUGUUUUUAAAAAAAAAUUAGGGACUAAACCAGGCCAAAAUCCUUUACACGUGCAACUGCUCAACCUUUACCGGUGCAACCGAGCAAGAUGAACCUUGUAUUUGAGCAAGGAUGAACCUCUUGAAUUGCUGAUUGCUGGCAGAGGAUAAAACUUUUUUUCCAUAAUCUCGGAAUUAGUGCCAGAUUGAGUAAGCAUGUUGAUUUGCUGCUAACUAGAACAUGAAUAAUGGUACGAUUUUAGUGUCCAAGAGGAGAUGAGAUAUCACGUAGUGUCUAAAAGCAAGCAAACCUUAUUUUUCGGUUACCAAAAUUACAGCGAAAUUUAGUGUCUAAAAGCAAGCAAACCGUAUUUUUCGGUUACCAAAAUUACCAACGAAAUAAAUUCCGUCGGAUUUUCGUCCAUACGGGAAAAAAUAAUCUAGUUGAUGCGUCCUCUCUCAAACGAAUGAACUGUUGGGCUAAAUUUUUCUCCACAUGGAGCUUUUGCUCUCAGCCCAUUGCAACCCAAAAGUCCAACAAAUGUGAGCCUCCAUUGAAAGAGUAGAGAGUAGCGGCUAUUGAGGAGGAGAAGAAACUAGAAAAACACAAGAGAAAUGAGAGGAGAGUGGAGAAGAAGAUUUGCAGUUUGUUAAGCUUGGUGGCUCUUACCCGAUCUUCAUUAAAUUAGCGAUUGGAGGUUCAUAUGUGGUUGGAUUGGUUCCUCACUUUGAGCACUUCAAUCUAGUUAGUUUAUGUGAGGAUUGGUUGAGAAGAGCACCAGAUUUGAAUAGUAGUUUAUCAGGUCGAGUUACUGCAGUUACAGUUUGUACAACAUUUAGUAGAAUGUCAGUUCGAGGGGUCAAACGGUGUCCAAAUGGGCUGUUUUUGGACAGCUUGGAAGGGACUCAUAGACCAUCGUUUCUGCCUCAUACAAUUUGCAUACAUGGUUUGGGAUAUCUCGUCUGAGAACCAAAGAGGACAAAAAUAUACUAUUUCUCUAAUUGUUUAUUGAUAUACCUCUUGUUAGUUUUGAUGGUUGAUGUUGUGAUACCAAGUGUGUAACUUGAUGUUAUAGCUGAUGUUGUGAUGUGCCUCUAGAUGUUCUAGAGAAGACUCCAUUUGUACCUAUUUGCUGAUUAUAGUGGAAGUUUGGAGUGGACCGUUAGUCCCAUGGUUUUUUACUCCUCACAUCAAUGAGGUUUUCCAUGUAAAUCAUCGUGUCCCGUUGGCCGCAUCCUCGCCGGAGCUCUGCCAGAAGUCUGCCGGAGAUCCGUCGGACUCUCACUUGGAGCCGCCACCGGAGCAGGCAUCGGCCCCUCAUCAAGUAAUCAAGUAAGUCCCUCAAAUCCUGUCUCUUUCCCUAAUCCCUAAUCUUCUCCAUACGUGUGGAAAUUUUAAUCUUCUUCCUUGAGCAUUGGCCUGUAGCAUUUGGUAGUUGAAAACAUUGAAAACACGAUCUGAAAACAAGUGACCAUGAUUUUCCUUUUUUGUUGAAUUUAGUGAACAAUCAAAUAAUUACAUUACAUUGAGGUGAUCUUCUUUUGUGAACUUUUGAAUAAAAUUUCUAACAACGGUUGCUGUAAAUUAUUUAUUUACUAUGGAAGCAAAUGUAUGAUGCUGCUGUUGCAAAUGAAAUCUUCAAAAUGUGACUACUAUGGAAGUAAAUUAUUUAUUUACUCUCCCAGGGAGCUUCAAUUUCAGCCCACGGAGACCCUAAUCGAGAUCCUGAAGAUACUACGUGCAGGUGAUGAUGCCUUCUUCAGAGACCAUCUUAGAGCUUGAGUAAGGCAAGGUUUUUGUUGUUUCACAUCACCAUUAAUGUCUUUGUUUCAUAAGACUGAAUUUCUUUAUGUCCCUUAGUUCAUAAUGCAUUGUUUCAUGUCUGCAUGAUUUAAUUGCAUGAUCAUAUGGUUGGAUGACCUGAAUUACAUGCUGACGAGCGAAACACAUGAGCUACUCGAGAGGAAAUACUGGCAAGCGCUGCCAUAGAAGGAUCAUGUGCCAAAUUAAAUUAAAUCUGAAGCAACAAUCGAUCUCUCAUCAGUAGUUUCCUUGCACAAUUUCAGAGAUGCCGUGUUGGUGAGGACGUGAGGUGCUCCCAUUCUGUUCUUUUGUUCGCAAAAUAGGGAUUUCCGAGGUGGAGAGCAGGACGAGGCAGCUCAGGUACCAUGGCUGUGUGCUGAUCUAAUAGUCAUGCUUGUUGUUUUAAUUGGUGAUGCUGCUCCAAUUUGUUUUUUCGCGCAGAUGGUCUUCUAUAUCUUCACAAUUGUUGUGCCCUUGUCUCUUCUCAAUCCACAUCAGGUGCGUUCAUGCUUUUAGUAAUCUAGAAGAAGUUGAUUUGUCGCUCAACAAGAUAGGCAAAAAAAAUAUAUUCUUUGAUUGGAUAUGGAUAUUAUUCUUGGUCCUAAAGUUCGCAGCAAAACAACUAUCUCUGCCAAAAAAAAUCGCAGUAUGUAACUUCAUUUUUCUUUAAGUAAACAUUCAAGGUUACAAUUUCAAGUACAUUGUCACCAGACAAAUGUGAUGUCCAGGUUUAGACUUCUAACAUGGCACAUAGUUUAGUACCAUAAUUGCUACGGAAUAAAACAAUUAUUGGAGGGCCAUUUGUCUAGAACAACAUGGUCAAUUUACCAAAGCUAAGGAUAGGAGAGGUUAAACGAGGAAGCAUGUUUUGGGGCUAAGUGAGUCGAGAUAAUAUAUACCAGCGCUGUAUGUUGAGGACUUGAGGUAUGUCUAUUGAAACUGUGCAGCCCCUAUCAAUUGAUUUGCAUCCAUUCUUUCUUCCGAACUUUACUAAUGCUGAUUUCAUGUCAUGUUCAGCCGACAGCGUGGCUGGUGUCAGCAGUAUAAUUAUCUUGUUUUAGUCUGCUCAUCUCUUGGUUAGGAGCAGAUAAAAUUAUGCUUACAUAUGAGAAGUUGAGUACUGCACCUCAGGUAUUAUCACAUCACACUCAGGUGGUUUCUUAGAUUUUAGAUCCCAUUUUACAACAAGGAUUGCGUAAAGUACACAACAAGGAUUCGUGUUUUACGGAAAAUCUUUAAUCUAGCAGACUUAUAUAAUUUCAGCUUCCAAAUGACUUAAUUUUGCAGCGGCAAAAGUUGUCAAAUCAAAGCCUAUUAUAGGAGGAAAAUUUUGGCUGGUUCUAUUAUUAUUUUUCGUUGUUUGGAGGUAAUGUGAUGUUUUGAGAUCACUGGAGGAUUUAAAUUUGCUUGUAAUCCAGAUGAUUACCACUAAUCACUAUGAAGCCAUCCUACUAUUCUUGUAAGUAGUUACUGAGAAAUAUAUAACAUUUGUCUUUGAUCCCUAGAGAAUACCCAACUUCUUGAAGAGAAAAACCAUAUAUUUAGGAGAAUCCUAAACUAAUCUUUUGCUCUACUACUUUUCAGGCCGUAUAUGCAUAUAUCUUGGUGAGUAAUAGAUGUUCCAUGUGUCAAUGCAUCAACUAAAAUACCUGAUGAACAUGUAUAUGAUUCUUAGGAAAUUACAUCUGCAACAGCCAACUUUAUUUUUUUUUCUCAGCAUCUCAGGGCAUUAUUUUCAUCAAGAUUUUUUGCCUACGCUAAUGACUGAUGACAAGGAUUUUGAGUCCAACAAGGACCUUUGUUGAUUGCUGAAAUGCUGAAGAUACAUUGAAACUGUUUCUUGAAUAAAAAUAGAUGGCUGUGUGGGGUAACUUUCAUCUUUACAUAAUUCGGCUUUCCUAGAAUUAUUCAGUGUCUUAGUACAUGACCUUGUAAUACCUUAUGGUUACUGAAAAACACAUGUCGUACUUUUACAACUUUGUCAAAGAUUUAUGUAGAUAAAAACAUGGUAUCCAUGAGCAACGUGGUGAAACUUAAAAUAGUCUUAAUGUUUUUUAUAUUCUAAUCUUGAUUUUUUUAUGCAGUUAAUCUCAACUAAUGUCCCUGUAUUUUUUUUGGCAUGGGUUUCUUUUUUUUUUUGGGUAAUAUCUGGUUUGUAAUGUGGGAAAGGAAAAGAAACUACAAUUUUGAAGUGGUAGAGCAAGCAAAAGGUAUGUCUAUAGUUUGCUUCCUAACCUGAUUCUAUAAAUACGCACGAAUUUAGGGAACCUAUGAGCUGCAAUUAAACUUUAGAAAUUAAAUUGCAUAAACAUUAGUAGAGUCUCAUCCACUGAUAAAUAUCCAUGCUCAUUGGAAUGAGGAGCGAAGUUCCACUUGAUUAUUGUAUUCAACAAAUGCUUGAUAAAAUGAUUCAGUAGAUUAACUUUACAUCAGCAUAAAGCUAUGGAUACACUAGAUUUAGCGCAAAGCAGGGUAUUAUGAUCAGCACAUUCCAUUCCUCUGGUUCAGCUUGCAGCUUACUGAAUUAAUAAUAUUUGCUAACAUUUUACACUGUUCAUUGGUUUUGCAAGACAAUAGCAUUUCCCUUUUACAAAAGUUAGAAGAUCCUUUUACAAAAGUUAGAAGAUCCGUUCACUGUUAUUUCUAUUCUUUCUUCUGCAUGUUGAGGGCUUGAGGUAUCGCAUGGGCUCUUUGUUUUCUAGGAAAGGUGAGCAUGCUCUACUUAUUCAUUUACAUCUUAUAAUUGGAAUUAUUCUAUUUUCACAAAUUUUAGGAGCAAAUAGUGAUCACAACUUAAGUUGGCACUUUUUGAUAUAUAGUCUGGACAUUUUCAUGUCCAGUGGAGAAUAAUUUAAAUUCAGAAAUUAAAUUGUGCAAACGUGAAUGUCAUCCACUAAUAACGACCUGUUGAUUGUGAUUUUUUAGCUAGAUGCCGAUGGUGAGGUAUAAUUCAGGGUGUGUUUAGCUCACGCCAAAAUUGGAAGUUUGGUUGAAAUUGGAACGGUGUGAUGGAAAAGUUGAAAGUUUAUGUGUGUAGGAAAGUUUUGAUGUGAUAGAAAAGUUGAAAGUUUGAAGAAAAAGUUUGAAACUAUACUCGGCCUCAAUCAUUUUCCUUUCUCACCAGCUAUUGUAACAAUCAGGUGCUAUGGGCAUCGCAGUUAGAAUGCAACAAAGUGGCGGGCUGAACUUGUAUCUGCACUGCAUUGGACUUUUGGCUUCAGCAAUUUGGAGGGACUCGGGGACUUUGAAAAAAAAAAGGAGGAUCGAGGCUGACAUAUGGCUAUCUUAGAAUAUGUAUUGUGAAGAACGUACCUUGUAUGUGCACGAUUACUAGUUAUUCUUAAAGUACAUGACAAGAUGAGAGAUUGAUUGUGUGAACCAUAUUUAUCGGUUGGUGAAUUGUAGCUUGCACAUGAAUUGAUUUGGUUCAGCCCCAAUAUAAACAAGAUCAACACAACAUGAUAGCAACCCAUCAUUAUCAGUUCUUACCGUACCAAUAUCAAAAGUAACAAAUUUCAGAUGCUCAAUUCCAAUUGAUGAAAUUGUCCUCGAGAAUGAAAUGUCCCAGCAUUUUCUUUUUUUUAAAAAAAAUGAACUCCAAAUGGCUGGUUCACCCGGUUAGACAGCCUUGGCGCAAAUCGUGCAUUCAACACCGGUCUAUGAACUGUGGAGAGGUGGCUAAGCCAGCACUGCCUUUGGAUGGGGCUGAUGAGCUCGUCGUGCCUUCGCAUAGGGUUGAUGAGCUCACUGGGCUGCCGGCCAAGGCCCGAGCUUGUAGACGAAUUCGAUCGGUGGCUCGCCGACCACUCCAUCAUCUACGGCGAGGGUUUAUAAGCAGAUAAUGAUUUAAUUUAUUUCAUAAAUAAAUCCUGACACUGCAUAUGUAAACUAACAUAAAUGUAUCAUAAGAUCUACACAUGUAAACUGAUAAUAAAAUAUGAACAGAUCGAAUAUGCACAACAUGCUGAAUACGUACCGAGGGUACCGGAAAACCAGUUGCACAGCAGGAAGUACUCGCGAUUGCGGGGGUUGACGACGAUGCGCAGCACGCGAGCGAAGAGGAAGACGAGCCGUUGUGGUCGAACAGGGAGCAGUCGUGCGACGUUCCAAAAACCUUAUUUGCCGCCUUCUCCCACUGCAGGACGUUAAAGGCGAAUGUUCCGGAAACCUAUUCUCCCGAUCACCGGUGCACGCUGACGAGUGGGAUGGAGUAGACUACAAGCGAAGGCGCAGUACAGAGGAGGAGGAGGCAAACCCUAGAUUGAUUUUACGUAUGUUACGUGGAGGUGGCGACUCAACUUAUAUAGAGAUAUCAGGAUGCUUGAUCAGGACGCCUGCACGAUCUCCGCUCCGCAUAAUCGAGAACCGGAUAAGUCACGCGUAACUUAUCCGGACUCCAUGCCAUUUCAUGCACCGGAUUAUUCGGAGUGUUUCCAAAACAAACAAAUCCAAAUUUUCCACAGCAAAACAAAGCUACAAAACCGAGAACCGGACAAGUCAUGCGUAACUUAUCCAGACUCCAUGCCGUUUCACGCACCGGAUUAUUCGGAGUGUUUCCAAAACAAACAAAUCCGAAUUUCCCGCAGCAAAACAAAACUGCAAAAGGGCUAUGCCCCCCUGUUCUCUCUACGUCAUAUGCCUCAAGUGGCUAGGAGAGCAUCCCACCUUAUAAUGAGGUAUCUAUCUCCUGAAAUAGAUAAAGUGGUACUAAAGUCCCCAUGUCUACCAUCCUAUGAAGUGGGCUUUUAUGAUUUUCUAAAGAAUUAAUCUUUGAAUUGGCUAAGGCCUAUCUAUUAAUUCCAACACGUGCCGCCACAGAUGUGCUUGUCAUCUACGCCCGCCGAGUUCAUCUCGUUGCAGUCGAUAAUGUUGUAGUCGUUGCCACUCGCUGAUGAGGAUGCCGCCGCCGUAGUAGAUGCGGCCGCUGAUCGGCUUCGAUCACUCGUCACUGAUCGAGGUCAUCCGUCAUUGUCGUAGCUGCCGCCGAUAAGCUCGAGGUCACUCUGAGUGGUAUCCCCCCACAGGAGAUAACACAUGCAAACACAUAAGUAUACACGUUUCUAUUAUCAAGAGUUAUUUUAUCAAGGGCAACGAGUGUGUAUCAAUAGAAAUUGUUGGUAUUUAUCAGUCACUUGAUUUUUUUUCUUACCCAUCAAUCGACUAAACUUGAACAAUGAAUAUGCUAAACUUGCACAAUACGAAAAACUGCAAUUUUGGUAUAAAUCAGUGUAAAUUUUGUUUUUUGUUUACUAGAUUAAACAAGAUGCAUUUUUAUAUGUUUAUCUAGAUAUUUGACAUAUAUGGCAUGAUUCAUAGAAAGUUAUAAGUUUCCGAAUAGGGAGAAUUGCAUAUUUGCCACUACUUUCACCCCUUAACUCUAAAUAACCAUUAUAAAGUCACGAAUUACAAAUUUACCACUGAAAACAGUGUGCGCAGAUUCCGUAUGCCAUCGCCGUUCCAAUUCACAGAUAAAAAAAAUUCAUGAAAUUGAAUUUUAAAAAAAGGCAACGCGAUAAUACCAUGUUGCCCAUGCCAGAUUCAACCUUAUCCCUGUUCUUCCCGAAGUCUACCACAUCAGAAACAUCCACUCGAACUCCUCCUCUCCUCUCCCACGACAAACCCUAAACCUCAGAUCCUCUCAUCCUUCUUUCAAAUCAGGAGCAAAUCAACCAACAAUAUGUUACUUUAGAGUAUUAGAUGCCAAUAGAAGAGGUGCAGAUUUAUUUCGGCGAUUAGGCAAGGCAAGUGGCGGCUUUGGGCGAUGGCUGCAGCGGGCGGCGUCAGGUUUGCAGCGCGCGACUGCAGCGGGUGUCGACGUCUACUGCAGCACUUGCGGCGGCCUGGGGCAACAGCUGUAGUGGGCGUCUCCGUCGGGCGGCGUCAGGCCGCGGCACGCCGCUGCGACGGCUGUCAGCGUCGACUGCUUCAAGCGGCAUGGUGGCUAUGGUGGCCACUUUGCAAAGACAUGUCAGGGAGGACCUAUAGCUAGCAAAAGGUACUUGUCAUCCUUUUUUUUUCUUUUCAUUUGUGAAUUGGCUGCUCACUCUAGAUUUUAUACAGGAAAAGUUCGUCUUCAUUAAUAUCAUCCUCAGAUCAACACCAUUUGUAAAUUGGCUGCGCUCACUCUAGAUUCUGUACAAGGAAAAUGAUGCUUGUUGACUAUGUUCUUGCUUGUUGCCUUAAAUGGUGUUUUAUUGAGGAAGGGCAUUCUUGUCCUAAUUUUCAUGAAAACCAGCCAUAUAACGGUGUUAGUCUAAGCUUGAGUUCAGUGUCAGUUACAUUAUGUUCAAACUGUUUUUUAUGGCAAAUUUACAAUUAUAGUUUUUUUAGUUGCAGAUCCACGAUACCUGUUCAAUCCAGUGGCAAAUAUGCAAUUGACCCUUCCGAAUAACAAUUUUGUUUUAGAAAAGUUUAUGAAAUAUAUCUAACGAAUUGAUGAUAUCGUGAUAUAUAGAACUUUUCAAGCCAAAUUUGAUUUCCUUUGUAUUAAAACUAAGUAUUUGAGAAAUUAUUAAUGGUCAGAAUUUUAAAAGUUCUCUCAAAUCUUUAUGACCAGACCCUUACGAGAAAUAAUUUUUAGUGGUCUGGUCAUAGAUUUUUAGUGGAAUUUUUAGAGCUCUAGAAAUAAUUUUAACCAAUUAAAAUUGAGCACAAGCAAUAUUUAAUCCCAGGAAAAUUCAUUUCCUUCUUUUUUUUCUUUUUCCCUUCUUCUCUUUCGAAUGGGCCGCCGGCCCAUUCUCUCUUCUCUCCCCCUCCCCGCUAGGCUGGCCGAAGGCCACGGCCCAGCCAGCCGCCCGAGCCCUGGGGCCCACCUGUCGGGCCCGUCUCCCACCUCCAGCCGGCGCCGCCGUGCCCCGCAACCGCCGCCGCGCCCCGCUCCCGUGACUUCCGGGCCACGUCGCCCUCGCGCCCGCGUCCCCCGCGCCCACUCCCCCUCUCUCCCGCCCGCGCCCGCGCUCGAGACGGCCGGGAUUCAAUUUUUGAAUCCCGCCUCUCUCUCCUCCCCACCUCUCCCCACUCCGCCAACGAAAUCGCGGUCUCCUGGCCACGAUCGACCCUCGUGGGUCUAUAUAAAGCACCACCGUUCUGUAACGCCCCGAUUUUCGUUCGGGUUUUAAAAUCAUUUAAUAAUACAUUUUCUAGAAAUUAAAUAAAAGUUAAAUCAAUUUAAUCAAGUAAAAUAAUGGGAGAAUUUGAAAUUUUCCUUUAAAAAUCAUUGGUCGGGAAUAUUUUGUAAUAUUCUUUGUGCCCUAAUGUACUCUCCGGAAUUUUCCGUGAAUUUUCGGAGCUCGAGAAAUAGUUUUAAUAGCACAAAGAUCAUUACAUCAAUUAAAAUAAAAAAAGAAAAACAAAUAAAAUCCUCCUUCCUCUCUUUGGGCCCCUUUCAGCCCAAUCCCCCUUUUCUCUCCCUCUCGGGCCGGCCUUCUCCCUCGGCCCGCUCGGCUCUCUCUCUCCCUCAAGUCUGCUUUACCUCCCUCGCCCGUUUUCCCCUCUCUCUCUCCCCGACAGGUGGGACCCGAGGCCCCACCUGUCAUCUUCUUCCCCAACCUCCCGUCGCCCCAACCGCCGCCAUGGCCGCCGGAUUCGCCCCACGACGCCGCGGCUCCCGCGCCCCACCCCGCCCCAUGAGUGCGUGAAAACGAUCCCCUUCACCUCCUCCACCUUUCCCCCCACUCUCCCCGCGAAAAUCGGCGCCGGUUAACCCCUCCACCACCCCACGUCGGCGCCCCACUUCGCCGGCCGAUUCCGCCACGUCCGGCCUCGAUCCCGCCUUCCCGAGCCCAUAAAAAGCACCCCCGUGCUCCCCUCGUCCAUUUCCCCUUGUUUCCCGAACCCGGCACUCUCUCCCUCGCUCUCCCCACGCCGCUCCCGCGCGCCGCCACACUUCGGCGAACUCCGGCCGCCGUUUCCCGUCACUAGGGUCGCCGCCACACUGCUCCGCCGCCACCGCCAGCUUUGCCACCGGCCGGGCAAGCUCGGCCACCGCUCCAUUUCCCCCCUCCACCUCCGUAGCGCCGUAGCCACGCGAACCACCUCUCUCCGCCGCCGCCGCCGACUCCAGCCGCGUCGCGCCGCCGCUUCGGUCGACGCCGACCCGCGCCGUUGCAAUGUUUGCUUUGUAUGUCGCUAGAUUCCGGUUCCUCCGACGCUCCGGUGUACUUCGAAAUAGUCGCCGAGGUUCCUCCAGCAGCAGAGCAAGGCAAGUCAUGCUUGUCACUUGAACAUGUUGAACCUAUAUUGCAAAUGCUCUAUUGUUUUUCUUCAAAUAUUGCAUGGUUUUAUAAUGUUACUAUGGGGUGUUUACCAAUUGUCAUAGCCAUGCUAUUGUUGUACCAUGUCCCUUUGUCAGCUUGGGGGUUAUAACAUGACUAGAGAUUGGACUAGGGAUUGCUUAGCCAUGCUUAGUUCAACUAGUGCACAAUGGGGAAAAUCCUAUUAAUGUUUAGACUGUUGGUUCUAAUGGUAUUGUUGGAUUAGUGCCACCGCUUUGGUGUUGGUUAAUUAAAAUAAAUCACAUGGUGGGCUGUGGGUGCAUGGUUUUGCUGGUCGCACCCAUGGCAGUUAAGGACCGGUUCGCGGGAUGCCCUGGAAGAACUUAGCGUACUUACCACAAGCCAGCGUGGGCAACGGCUGGGCUUGUAGCGUAGCUUUCCUCUAGCCGACGCAUCCAGGCAAGGGUGGGCGUGAUGGAGUUUGGAUGGGCCCUGCGACGGCCUAUGCGGCUUCCGGAUUCACCUAGGCACGAGAGGGGACUGCCCGCUGCCUUGCGAGGAGUGGGGGUGAAACCUGAGGUGUGGUGUGCUUGGUUAGAGGGGGUUAUGCGAAGGGUCCUGUCACGGCCUCUUUCCGGUAUGUCGUGGUGACAUGUCGGCGCACGGAAACGUGUCGUGGGGCUGUGUCUUGUGGGUACAGUUGUACACCUCUGAUCAGAGUAAAACUAUUCGAAUAGCCGUGCCCGCGGUUAUGGGCGGUCAACCAGAUUCACCGUGAUUAGUCUCACCCUAGUGUAAUCUUUUGAAUUUGGAUAGUUUAGGUGGAUGGUUGGGCCUGUCACAACGUGGGAUAGCGUUGGACAGCGGAUGAUUAAUAGUAAUUAAUUGUUACAACUGUUUAAAUCUGUCAACUUCUGUUUAUUAAUGCUCGCUUUAUGCAAAUGAACCACUCUAGCUCUCCUUUGAUAAUUCCCUACAUCAUACCCCUAUUCCGGUGUGACUUGCUGAGUACAGUGGGUAGUACUCAGUCUUGCUCUAUUUUUCCCAACCCCAGAGCACGAGUAUGGGUCAGAUGAAGGUUUCUCUGAGGAGUAGGCUUCGUCCGUGCCGUCGAGGAUGCCUGUGGAGUGGUGUUCCCGCUGCAGUUCUAGUCAAGGCUUAGCUCCUGUUGUCUUCCGUUUUUCCGCUGCAUUUAUGUAAGACUUUUAUGAUGUUUGUAAGACGUGGACCUGAAUGUCAACAUUGUCGUUUGUGUACCCCGGCCGGUCCUGGACGGGGAAUUUAAUGCACAUUCUGCUUGGAAUUCUAUUCGGGAAUUUCUGGGCGUGACAAGUUGGUAUCAGAGCCGACCUUGACCGUAGGACAAGCCAAAUGGAAAAACCUAAGAGCCCUCUGAAUCCUUUUCAUUGCAUAUGUUCUUUGCAAUUGGAUUUGUUCUGGGAAAAUUGGGAUCUGUUCUUGUGGUUCAAGGGGAAAAAUCUUGGUCGCUCGUUUAAGUGAGAUUUGUCAAAACAAGUCAGUCUAGGGUUUUAGUAAAACUAUUGAGAUUUAUUCGUCAGUCAGUUGGGAUUUGAUGGGUGAAAUGCAUUAGGUCCUAGCUCAGGAACAUGGGUUGCAAGGUAUUUAUGCUCUUAUUGUUAUUAUUAGUAUGUAUCUAAUUUCCCAUUUAUUUUAUCAUUAUGUGAGUCUGUCUUCUUUAUUCGCUCUCAUGCAAAAUGAUCUAUGCAUAAAAUUUCGCUCUUAUUCGAUUCUCUUAUUUGAGUCUUUUAUUGCUUUAUUUAAAUUUGGAUUUGAGCAUGCAUUGACCCUACUCCUUUGUCUUCUCUAGAUGGCCGGCCACCCACCCAACCACCGCGGAGAAGGCAUGAUUGACUUUGUGGCAGAGUUGGCACGUAUGACGCUGGUGGUGGGCUACCCCAACGCGCCAGAGUACACGACUGUUCCACCGCUCAGUGGCGAGCUUCCUCACCGUGUUCGCCUGGAGGUCCACGGCUACGUGGGUACCUGCCUAGCUAAUAUGGUGGUUGAGGCAUCCGGAGGCACAGCAGAUCACGCCUGUCAGGAGGCAGCAUACCUGAUGAUGGCCAGACUACGGGAGCGCCACAACUACAUCUUCCACGACACGGCGUACCGAUUUCACCCUCGUCGAGCCAGCGGUGAUGAUGUCAGUACUUUCCGUCCGACAGCCGGCGAGAACGACACUACUUUUGGUCACAUGUGUGCUGUGAUGAGGGGAUUGGAUAGGAUGCACUCGGACCUGCACAAGGCGUCCAAGGCCUUGAAUGAUGGGAAGCUCAUGAGGAUCGUCGCUCUGAAGGACGCGAUAGCGCGCCUGAAGAGGGAGAAUGCUCAGUUAAAGGGUCUUCCCGCGCCAGGAGGAGUCCGGAUCCGCACUACGCCCCGCAAGAAGACGACUGCACCCGUGCGCAUCCAGCUUGCGCCCAGGAACCCACCUCCGCCCGCAGUUCCCGCACCUCCAGUUCCGCCCGCAGCUCCGGCAGUUCCUGCAGCUCCAGCACCAGCUCCAGCUCCCGUUCACGUGUCAGCUCCCGCGUCCGCUCUCUCCUUCGCUCUAGCAUCAGCCGCCAGGGGUCCAGCCAGUGGCAACGGAGGUUGGUUGUCCGCUACUCCCAGUGGCAGCCGCGAUCUCAGCAGCAGUAGCUCCAGUGGCUCAGAGUCGGGCAGCGGCGAGACUUAUCUGCCAGGCUCCAGGAGUCGCUCAGAGGGACCUGGUGACGAGCAGGAGGACGCCUUCGACUCCACCGACCGCAGGAGCCGUUCCGAGCAUUAGGCCCGUUUUCCAUUAGUUUAUCGACUUGCUAGCUUCUGCUUGUUAGUUUGUGUGUUUAGGUUGCUUGCUUGGGGUCAGUCGACGGUCGAUAUCAUGUGCCUAUGAUAUGGCUGUCUUAAUAAGGAUUUUUGCUUGCUUUUUAAGUGUUUUAAUUCAGAUCAGAACAAUUGCAGUUUAAAUUCCUUUAUAAUAAAGCUUAGUUCCUGAGCAUCUGUUUUUCUUCUUUUCCCCCGUAUGCUCUUCCUCAAGAUGGUCUACACCAGGAAUGGUAGCCGCGCAACAGGCGAGGGCAACAACGGCGAAGAGCGCACUGAGGGUGUGCAUCCCAACAGCAAUUCCGGCAAUGGUCCGCCACCACUUCCCGAGAAUCCGACGCUAGCCCAAGUGAUGGCACAUCAGACUCAGAUGAUGGCAGCCAUGAUGCAGCAGAUGCAGCAGCAGCACCAGCAGAUGCACCAGCGGAUGCUGCAGCACGCUGAACAGCAGCAUCAGCUGUUUGGUCCCCCUCCCCCUCAGUCCAAGUUGCCAGAGUUUCUACGUGUCAGGCCACCCACCUUCUCCAGCACCACCAACCCUAUGGAGGCGAAUGACUGGCUCCAUGCCAUAGAGAAGAAGCUGAAUCUCCUGCAGUGCAAUGAUCAGGAGAAGGUUGCUUUCGCCACACACCAGCUUCAAGGUCCUGCGUCAGCUUGGUGGGACAAUCACAUGGCCACCCGCCCGCCAGGCACUGAAGUCACUUGGGCAGAGUUCUGUCGUAGCUUCAGGAAGGCGUAGGUGCCAGACGGGGUCGUGGCACAAAAGAAGAGAGAAUUCCGAGCACUCCAUCAGGGUAACAUGACUGUGACGGAGUAUCUCCAUGAGUUCAAUCGCCUCGCGCGAUAUGCACCGGAGGAUGUCCGUACUGACGCCGAGAAGCAGGAAAAAUUCCUAGCAGGUCUGGAUGAUGAGCUAACCAACCAGUUGAUAUCUGGAGAUUACGCCAAUUUCGAAAGGCUGGUGGACAAGGCAAUCCGUCAGGAGGAUCAACGCAACAAGAUGGACAGGAAGAGGAAGGCCGCUCAGUUCAGGGCACCUCAGGGAAGUCACCAGAGGCCGCGCUUCGCUCCCGGGCAGCAGGGUGGACCUACCACCAUGAUCGUCCGCCAGUACCGCCCGUUCAACCCUAGCAAUUUUCCCCAGGGCGCCAGUGGCAGUCAGAACCACCAUGGAGGUCAGCCCAACCGCGGUGCAGCUCCACGCCCACCAACGGCACCGGCACAGUCAGGCCUGUCCGCGCAAGCCAAGAAGGAGACUGGAGCAAAACCAGGGUCCUGCUUCAACUGUGGCGAGCUUGGCCACUUCGCUGACAAAUGCCCGAAGCCUAGGCGUGCCGGGCCAAGGUUUAUCCAGGCUCGUGUCAACCACGCAUCUGCGGAGGAGGCACAAGCAGCACCAGAGGUUGUACUGGGUACGUUUCCUGUUAACUCAAUCCCUGCAACAGUACUUUUUGAUUCUGGUGCAACGCAUUUGUUCAUUUCAAAGAAGUUUGUCGGGAUGCAUGGGUUAAGGAAAGAAGAGCUUAGCACACCAAUGAGGGUUCAUGCCCCGGGAAAUAGUUCAACCUCAGUCAGUUUUAGCCCUUCAGUGCUAAUAGAAAUCCAAAGAUCACCAUUUCUAGCCAACCUCAUUCUUCUCAAAUCCAAAGACCUAGAUGUCAUUCUUGGGAUGGAUUGGUUAACCCAGUUCAAGGGAGUCAUUGAUUGUGCGAAUCGCACAGUCACCUUGACCAACGAGAAGGGAGAAACAGUAGUGUACAAAUCACCAGACUCACCAAAGCAAGGGGUCUCCUUGAAUCAGAUUGAAGCGGAAAUCCCAGUGGUCACCGUGGAAAAGAAUUUGAGGAAAUUGGAAGAUAUCCCCAUAGUCUGCGAGUAUCCAGAAGUGUUCCCCGAAGACCUCACUACCAUGCCACCCAAGAGAGAGAUUGAAUUCCGGAUUGACUUGGCACCGGGAACCGCUCCAAUUUACAAGAGACCGUACAGAAUGGCGGCCAACGAACUAGCAGAGGUCAAGAAGCAGGUUGAUGAGCAGCUGCAGAAAGGGUACAUUCGACCAAGUACUUCACCUUGGGGUGCUCCGGUCAUUUUUGUGGAGAAAAAGGAUAAGACGAAGAGGAUGUGCGUUGAUUAUCGCGCACUCAACGAAGUCACAAUCAAGAACAAAUAUCCUUUGCCGCGAAUCGAUGAUUUGUUUGAUCAACUGAAAGGAGCUAAAGUGUUUUCUAAGAUAGACCUGCGAUCAGGCUACCACCAGUUGAGAAUUCGGGAAGAGGAUAUUCCAAAGACGGCCUUCACCACUCGGUACGGGCUAUAUGAGUGCACGGUUAUGUCUUUCGGACUUACCAACGCACCUGCAUUUUUCAUGAAUCUGAUGAACAAAGUGUUCAUGGAAUUUCUGGACAAGUUUGUUGUGGUAUUCAUCGACGACAUACUUAUCUAUUCAAAGUCCGAAGAAGAACAUGAGCAACAUCUCCGUCUGGUACUCGAGAAGUUGAAGGAGCACCAGCUAUAUGCUAAGUUCAGCAAGUGUGACUUCUGGUUGACGGAAGUCAAGUUUCUGGGGCAUGUCAUUACAGCUCAGGGUGUGGCAGUUGAUCCAUCGAACGUGGAGUCAGUUACCAAAUGGACCCCACCUAAGACCAUGUCGCAGAUUCGGAGUUUUCUUGGACUUGCGGGUUAUUACCGCCGAUUCAUUGAAAACUUCUCCAGGAUCGCCCGUCCUAUGACUCAGUUGCUUAAGAAAGAUGAGAAGUUUAAAUGGACAGCUGAGUGCGAUAAGAGUUUUGAGGAGCUCAAGAAGAAAUUAGUAUCCGCACCAGUUUUGAUUCUGCCCGACCAGAUGAAAGACUUCCAAGUCUAUUGCGAUGCAUCCCGUCACGGACUUGGAUGUGUCCUGAUGCAAGAGGGCAGAGUGGUUGCGUAUGCCUCGCGGCAGUUGCGUCCACACGAAGGGAAUUAUCCAACCCAUGACCUGGAAUUGGCAGCAGUGGUUCAUGCUUUGAAGAUCUGGAGGCACUAUCUGAUUGGCAACCGCUGCGAAGUAUAUACGGACCAUAAGAGUUUGAAAUACAUCUUCACCCAACCGGACCUAAAUCUCCGACAACGAAGAUGGUUGGAACUAAUCAAAGACUAUGACAUGAACAUUCACUACCACCCGGGUAAAGCCAAUGUGGUGGCAGAUGCAUUAAGCAGGAAAAGUUACUGCACUGCCCUAUGCAUCGAGGGCAUGUGUGAGAAAUUGCAGCAGGAGUUGGAGCGUCUCAACGUGGGAAUUGUUGAACACGGGUUCGUAGCCGCUCUGGAAGCACGGCCUACGCUCGUCGAUCAAGUUAGAGCCGCUCAAGUGAAUGAUGCCGAAAUAGCAGAGCUGAAAAAGAACAUGAGAGUCGGAAAGGCUCGGGAUUUCCUUGAGGAUGAACACGGCACAAUCUGGUUGGGAGAAAGAUUGUGUGUACCUGACGACAAGGAACUGAAGGAUCUGAUACUCACCGAGGCUCAUCAGACCCAGUACUCCAUUCAUCCAGGCAGCACCAAAAUGUAUUAAGACCUCAAAGAAAAGUUUUGGUGGGUCAGCAUGAGGAGAGAAAUAGCUGAAUUCGUCGCACUCUGCGAUGUUUGCCAACGAGUGAAGGUAGAGCACCAAAGACCAGCAGGUUUACUCCAACCUCUUCAAAUCCCGGAAUGGAAAUGGGAGGAGAUCGGAAUGGACUUUAUAACAGGAUUGCCCCGGACAUCAUCGGGUCACGAUUCAAUCUGGGUAGUCGUGGAUCGACUCACUAAGGUUGCUCACUUCAUACCAGUACAUACCACGUAUACGAGCAAAAGGUUGGCAGAGCUCUACCUCUCGAGAAUCAUGUGUCUACAUGGAGUACCCAAAAAGAUUGUAUCUGACCGAGGGAGUCAGUUCACCUCAAAAUUUUGGCAGAAGCUGCAGGAAGAAUUGGGGACCCGUUUAAAUUUCAGCACGGCCUAUCACCCGCAAACUGAUGGUCAGACCGAGCGAGUCAAUCAAAUCUUGGAAGAUAUGUUGAGAGCUUGCGCUCUUGAUUUUGGUGGAGCUUGGGACAAAAACUUGCCAUAUGCGGAAUUCUCUUACAACAACAGCUACCAGGCCAGUCUACAGAUGGCACCGUUCGAAGCAUUAUACGGCCGGAAGUGCCGCACACCUCUCUUCUGGGAUCAGACAGGCGAGCGUCAACUGUUCGGGACAGAGGUAUUAGCGGAAGCAGAAGAGAAAGUCAGAAUUAUCAGGGAAAGGUUGAGGAUUGCCCAGUCUCGACAGAAGAGCUACGCGGACAACCGCCGAAGGGAGCUCACUUUUGAAGCAGGGGAUUACGUGUAUCUUCGUGUCACUCCGCUCCGGGGAGUGCACCGUUUUCAAACCAAAGGCAAGUUGGCAGCACGUUUCGUGGGACCCUACAAAAUCUUGGAACGAAGGGGAGAAGUUGCUUAUCAGCUAGAACUUCCAUCCAAUAUGAUCGGCAUCCAUGACGUGUUCCACGUGUCCCAAUUAAAGAAGUGCUUAAGGGUACCCGAAGAACAGGCCUUUUCGGAGCACAUCGAUCUCUAGGAGGAUCUGACCUACGUGGAGAAGCCGGUUCGUAUACUUGAUACCAGCGAAAGAAGAACCAGAAACAAGGUCACCAGGUUUUGCCGAGUUCAGUGGAGUCACCAUUCAGAGGAGGAAGCAACCUGGGAAAGGGAAGAUGAGUUGAAAGCCGCCCAUCCGCACCUCUUCGCCAGCUCCUCCGAAUCUCGGGGUCGAGAUUCCGUUUAAGGGGGAUAGGUUUGUCACACCCCAAAGUUCUCCUCCCAAGCCUAAAGUUUAAUUUAUAAGCGACCCUAAAAAAAUACCAGUGCAAAGCAAGAGUAAACCCUUUUAAAUCAAUGCAAAUAAUAAUCGGAAGUGGCAUGUGGAAUUUUUUCUUGAGUUCUACAUGUCGAAAUCCACUAACAGGAUUUUUAGUGGAAUUUUCAGAGCCCUAGAAAUAAUUUUAACCAAUUAAAAUUGAGCAAGCAAUAUUUUAAUUCCAGGAAAAUCCUUUUCUUUUUUUCUUUUUCUUUUUCCCUUCCCCUUCCGAAUGGGCCGCCGGCCCAUUCUCUCCGUUUUCUCCCCCUCCUCCCUGCUGGGCCGGCCGCAGGCCGAGGCCCAGCCAGGCCGCCCCUUCCUCCCUCUCCCGAGCCACUGACCGGUGGGGCCCGUUUGCCGGCGCCGCGCCCCGCCUUGAUGACGUCAGCCCUGGGAAUUAUUGCGCAAUAAAUUAUUUAAGGACUUUUUGUUAUAGUAAUAAACACAGUGAAUCUUCUAAAAUUCAUAACUAAUUCAUCCGAGUUCCGUUUAAGCCAAUUCAAGUCUCAGUAAAUCAAGAAAAAUGUGUAGAAUCCAUUAAAAAUGGUUUUGUUCCCUGUUUUAGUAGUCUUAUAGCCUGUUUGCAAUGUUUGCUUUGUAUGUCGCUAGAUUCUGGUUCCUCCGACGCUCCGGUGUACUUCGAAAUAGUCGCCGAGGUUCCUCCAGCAGCAGAGCAAGGCAAGUCAUGCUUGUCACUUGAACAUGUUGAUCCUAUAUUGGAAAUGUCGUGGUGACAUGUCGGCGCACGGAAACGUGUCGUGGGGCUAUGUCUUGUGGGUACAGUUGUACACCUCUGAUCAGAGUAAAACUAUUCGAAUAGCCGUGCCCGCGGUUAUGGGCGGUCAACCAGAUUCACCGUGAUUAGUCUCACCCUAGUAUAAUCUUUUGAAUUUGGAUAGUUUAGGUGGAUGGUUGGGCCUGUCGCAACGUGGGAUAGCGUUGGACAGCAGAUGAUUAAUAGUAAUUAAUUGUUACAACUGUUUAAAUCUGUCAACUUCUGUUUAUUAAUGCUCGCUUUAUGCAUAUGAACUACUCUAGCUCUCCUUUGAUAAUUCCCUGCAUCAUACCCCUAUUCCGGUGUGACUUGCUGAGUACAGUGGGUAGUACUCAGUCUUGCUCUAUUUUUCCCAACCCCAGAGCACGAGUAUGGGUCAGAUGAAGGUUUCUCCGAGGAGUAGGCUUCGUCCAUGCCGUCGAGGAUGCCUGUGGAGUGGUGUUCCCGCUGCAGUUCUAGUCAAGGCUUAGCUCCUGUUGUCUUCCGUUUUUCCGCUGCAUUUAUGUAAGACUUUUAUGAUGUUUGUAAGACGUGGACCUGAAUGUCAACAUUGUCGUUUGUGUACCCCGACCUGUCCUGGACGGGGAAUUUAAUGCACAUUCUGCUUGGAAUUCUAUUCGGGAAUUUCUGGGUGUGACAGAGCUCCUCCUUCCUCGGUCGCCGAUCGAGGCCGAGCCCGUCCGCCCCAUCCCGAGCGACGCCCGUCGCCGGAGCUCCGUCGCGUCGUCUUCCUGAGGAGCCCCGCCGCCACCGUUCCUUGCCGUCGGCCGCCCCUUCGCCGUCGUGCAUCUCGGUGAGCACUCCCCUCCCUCUCUCUUUUCCUCCCCUUCGUCAGCCGCCUCCAGGUCGUCCUCGCGACGCGCUGCCACCAUCGGUGGCCGUCCGACCGGGUCGCUGCCGCCGCGCUCCGCGCUCCGUGCCCGCGCCGUUGCCGGUGGUGCCGGGCAGACGGUUGCCGCCUCCCCCUUGCCGCGCCGCGCCGCUGCUCUCGCGUGCGCCGCUUUCGCCCGCGGGAGCUGUCGCCGGCCGUCGCCGCGGGUGGCCGCGCCGCCGCGCGCCGUCGUUUGGCCAGCCGACUUUGUGCCGUGCUGUGCCCCAGCCGCGCCGCCCCUGGCAGCCUGAUCGGCUUGGGCCGAUCCGGACCGUCGGUUCCCGUGGACCGGCGGUGGACCGCCUCGGUGGUCCCGGUCCACGGUGGACCGGCGCCCUUGUGCCGCUGACCGGUGGGGCCCGCUUGCCGGAGCCGCCCCUCCCCUUUGAUGACGUCAGCAACCCUCUUUUCCUUUGGAAAAAUAAAUAAUAAUUGCGUCAUAAUUCGUUAAUAAUUCUAGAAAUUCAUUUAAAUGUCUCAAAACUUCUAAAAUUCAUAUCUAAUUCAUUCAAACUCCGAAUUGAGCCAUUCAACUUGCAAAAUUCAUCUAAAAUUGAGCUCUACAUGUUUGUUUACUUUUUAUGUACUGUUUCCUUGGUUUUUAUUAGAGUUUUUCCUUGUUUUGCGUGCUAGCGUGUAGAAUCCGUCGUUUCGGAAGUCCGCAGUCGCGAGGAAAAGAGUCCGGAAGAUUGUUUUGAAGAAGCAAGGCAAGUCACACAUUCCCCUUGAGCAUGUUGAUCCCAAUUUAUAAAUGUUUUACCGGUUACAAAUAAAUAUGCAUGUUUUGCUAAUUACAUGGGAUCAGGGUUUACCUAUCUGCUCGCUUGUGCCAUGUUUACUUGAUAUCUGUCCUUUGUCAACCGUGGGUAAUAAAUCGCCUAGCUUGUGUUACUUUGAUGACCUAGCUAGAACUAUAUGCUUAGCCAUGCUUAAUUACCACUAGCUCAGUCGAUGGGAUAAUUGCAGUAUUAGACAUUCUAGUAUCUUGUUGAGCUGCGUGCUCGAGACAUCUGGCCAAGUUCUAUGGUCGUAAUUAUCCAACUAAAAUGUGACUGAAUGGUGGGCUGUGGGUGCAUGGUUUUGCGAGUCGCACCCAUGGCAAUUAAGGACCGGUUCACGGGAAACCCUGGAAGACUUACAGUGCUUACCACAAGCGGGAGUGGGUAACUGCUUGAUCUGAAGUAUAGCUCGACCCUUUCCUAGGCAUCGGUGGCGAGGGUGGGCGUGAUGGAGUUGGGUCGGCCGGGGUGUCCGGUUGUCCAGUUGCCGGAUUCACCUCGGCGCAAGAGGGGACCGCCCACUGCCUUUUGAGGGGUGGGGGUGAAACCUUAGCGUGGUGUGGAUGGUUAGGGGAGGGUUAUGCGGAGGGUCUCGUCACAAUCACUCGACAUGGUGACGUGUGCAUCAUGGGCACAUGAUGACGCGGUGACAUGUCGGUGGGUUGUGUCUUGUGGGUACAGUUGUGCACCUCUGGCCAGAGUAAAACUAUUCGAAUAGCCGUGCCCGCGGUUAUGGGCGAUCGACCAGAUUCACCGUGAUUAGUCCCAUCUUAAUAAAUCGACCCAAUGCACUGUAGUACAGGUGGGUUGGUUGGGCCUGUUCAACGUGGUGUAGCGUUGAUCAGUGGAGAUUUAAUGUUACUUUAGUUACUCAACAGUUUUACGGUUUUGCUCAAUAAAAUGUUUUACAACCGCCUUUAUGCAAAUAGCCACAAACCAUCCUUGUAUCCCCUUGCACAUCUGCAUCGUUGGUGUGGCUUGCUGAGUACGGUGGUUGUACUCAGUCUUGCUAUUAUUCCCCUUUUUUCAGAAGUGUAGUGCUUUUGAGCUGAAGACGAAGUUAGAGGACCAAGGCUCAGACCCCAGUUGAGUUUUGCCUGUGGAGUGGAGCUGAAGCCCCGCUAGGAUCGCCUUUUACCGCUGCUGCUGCUUUCGUUUCGGUGCGAGGACUAAGUGCCUCUUUUGUAAGUAUUUUACGCUUUAUUUACGUUUGGAACUGUAUAUUACUUGUCGUUUUGUGUACCCUGGCUGGUCCUGGACAGGGAUUUAAUACGCAAAAUAGUCUGGAAAUUUGGGUUAAAUUUCUGGGCGUGACACGUUCCCUCCUCUCUCUUUUUAUUUUUGCAAUCGCCCGCUCCCGUGCACUCCACCGCCUUAGCGCCGUCGUCCUCCUCUCCGCCGCCGCCGCUGCCGCCGCCGCUCCGGUCGCCACUAGCCGCCGUGCCGAGCCGCACCGUCGACGUCGUCGCGUUCGCCGUCGUGCGAGCCGUCCCGUCCACCCCUCCUCCGUAGUAAUCCGCCGCUAGAACCCCGCCCGUGCCACGCGCCGGUGAGCUUCGCCAUGGCCGGCGCCUUCGGUCGCCGCCCUACCCAUCCAUGGUUUCCCUCUCCCUCUCUAACUCAUCUAUCUUCUACCCUAUAGUUGAACAAAUGGUUUCACUUAUCACUCAUCACUCAUUCUUUCAUUCCUCGUGGAACGGUUCGGAUCAUCUCUGUGUAAAAUCCAACGCUCAGAUCCUCUCCACCUCGCACCUCUCAACUGCGCCCCCUCCCCCAUCCCAGCCCACGCCUCCCCAGCCCUAAUCUCUCUUCUCUCCCUCUCAUGCAACGCCAGCCCGCCACCGAUCUCCACCAUCACGCCGCCCCUGCCGCGAUUCACGUCGCCGCCGACCCCAGCCGCCCCUCUCUCCCCGCCGCGUGCCGCCCCUCUCUCCAUCGCCGUCCGUUGUCCAUCCGGAUUUCUCGAUCCCAUCGCCGUCCGUUCUCCAUCCGGUCGCCAUUGCGCCGCCGUCGAUUCCCGCCUCCAGAUUGAUGCCGCCGGCGCACCCUCGCGCUGACCGCGUUCCGCCAUCGGAUCGCUCGCCGUCCUGUCUCCACCGCGCAGCCAUCAGGUCGUCGUCAAUCACUCGUUAUCCGAUCUCAUCAUAGGUAAGUGUUAAGUUAGGUCAAUGUGUUAGGGCCAACUAAUAUUUAGAUUGAUUAAAUACCGACAUAUUUUCCAAUGCAUUCAUUGUGAUCUGGAGACUAUUCAGAAAGAAAUAAAUUUAAUGUUAUGCAUUAUGUAGAAAAACAGGGCAUCUGAUAGUUUACUCUACUUAGGUGCUGCUGCUGAAUUUUAUUUUGUAAGCAAUUAACAAUCUGUGAGAUGGGGAAGGAAGUUAGCCUAGAUCUUACUCCUUUUCACUAAGAUCUAGGCUAAUGUUGAUCACGACCAGGCAUUAUUACACCACAAAAAAAUACACAAAAAGAUUACUGCUAGCACCAUGUGACAAUUCCAUGGGCUGUGCAGCAGGGGAGUCGUUAAACCAUCAGGCUUGCCUUGGCGAUCCUGACCUGGAGCGAGGAAGACUGAUGCAGCCAUUGCCGCCAUCACCACCUUUGGCACGCAAAUGGAACCUAUCCACCAUGCCCCUUGACUGCAAAUUUCAGUAUGGAUGUUUCUUACUAUAUCCGUCUGAUGACAUGGAUUUCUUGAAACCCCAAAGAAUGGGUGCCUUUCAGUAUAUUCCGAUUGUCAAACUUUUACAUAAUGCAAGUUUGUUAUUUCCCACAAGUGUAGUUGGGACGAUUAAAAAAAAGUUAAAAUCCACUGAAAAUCAAAGCAUCUCUAUGGAAUGUGUGUAGGAAAGUAGUAAUUCAGACAAAACGAUAGCUUGCUUAUGAGAAAUUCUUAUUAUGCUGUUGAGCUGCAGUGGUAAAUAAUGUGUUCAGUCCGUUGUUCUCACUGUUCUCACUGUCUUUAUCCUGACUGAUAUUUCGUACAAAUAUACAACUCGUCGCCAAAACUCUCAAGGUAAGAGACACGUAUUUCGGCAAUGACCUGCAUUCAUUACUCAAAAGGGAGGGAUUUGCCAUGAUAGCAAGCACCGAGCCUAGCCUAGAGAUAACAUAUUCCAGAAAUUACCUGCAAAGGAGCCGUCUUUGGCUUCCUGCCCUCCGGCUCGGUGGCGUAGUAGCAUCCGAUCCCCCUAGCAGGCCAGCCCGCUGGAUGCUUAAGCGGUGAGAUGCGGCGAAGGAGAGCCUGAUGCCGCCUCCACAUCUUGGCUGUUGAACGGAAUUAUGUUCAAAUUAUGUUAUGUGUAUAAUGCAAGUACUACUUGUCAGUCAUUUCAUGCAGAGGAUAUUUACCUCAACAAAAGCUUUGUAGUAACUCUUAAUUGUUGGGUUAGAGAAGUCGUAUUUAUAGGCUAAUUGUCAAACUAAUGUUUUGUCAUUUUUUCUGCCGUUAUACUAAUUUCAGACCUACCAUGCAUUGAGGCCUAACAUGCCUGUAUAUACAGAACUAUCAUGUGUUUACUCAACUGGGAACACAUGAGUAUUGGAUCGUCAAAUGCAAUUCACAGAGUAUUGGAUAGUGCAAUGGAUAAUCAUAUCUUCAAAUUCAUGAAUCAUAUAGAGAGAAAAGAAUAAAAUUAUGACAAAUUUAUAGCCUUUUAUAUAUGUUACCCUUACGAUUUAUUCACUGUUUAAGAAUGGACCGAGGCGUAUAUCCUCUUCAAAUAGCAAGCUUUCAAGGGAUCUGUUUGUCAAUAUGAAAUCAAAGAAGAAACAAUGUUUGUUGGUAAGUAAAUACACUAUGUUUGCAUUGACAAGGAUAAACUUGGAGCAAACAUAACUGUAGUUGCUAUGAUCCAAAAUUGUUCUCUGUGCAUCGGGUACAAUGGAGCAAACAUGUUUUUCACUUCCUUCGCAGGAUAACAUGACAAGCAAAAGGAAUCUCUUCAUAUCAUUGGACGAUGACAAGCAAAAUGAAGGGUUCCGGCUUCAAGGUUUAAGUUGUGACUACCUUCUCGUAUAAUUGUUGGAUGUCAUACUUAGAGUGUUAUAGAUUUCAGAUUAUUGUCAUAGAACAAAUUAAAUUUCGUUUACCUCCUUUGUAUUCCAAGAUUUGUGAAUAUGCCUUCUCCUUUAUUUAUGAGGCCGUGCAAACAUAUUCUGAAGAUCAAAAUGUCUUGAGUUACAGAAAACUAGCCUUGCACUGACCAUGACUGCUUUAAUGGAUCGAUGAUGAUCGAACUGUGAUGGUGUGUAUGCAAUAUGUUGCCUUGUUAUUGAUCUGUAGCAAACAAUAUGUGUUUCACUACUGGUCAAAGAUAGUGAUAGUUAUUACCUGCACAGUAUUUAUAUAUUGUACAGAACUACCUACUUUGGACUUAUUUAUGUGCGUACAACAGAUUGUACAGAACAGAUUGACUUAUUUAUAUAGUGAUAGUUUUUUUAAUUUUUGCUUGAUCUUAUAACUAUGCAAUAUAGUCUUGUAUAUAUUUUUGGUUGUUUGAAUUGUGUUAUUAAAUGUCACUAUAGCGUUAGCAGGUUGCUUGAAUUAUGUUAUUAAAUGUCACCGUAGCGGUAGCACGGGCAAAUUACUAUCCCUUUUGAUCCCUUAGGUGGUCCCGGAGCUCGUCUCGCCGUCGCCAUCACCCUCUGUCGCUCGCCGUCGUCGAUCGUCGUCGGUGAGGCCCCUCCUCCCCUUUCUCCCUCUCUCCCGCACCGCUUAGUCGCUGCGCCGCCGCCCUCUGCCGUCGGCCGGUCGCCGCCUCGCGCCGCCGCGGGCCAUGGCCGCCGGGCUGGCUUGAGCCGUGCCCGUGCACGCCGGCCGCGAGCCGCAUCCGCCGUCUGAUCUACCGAGCGGUAGAUCGGGGCCAUCCGAUCCCGUCGCCCGCGUGGCUGCCAUGAGGCCGCCACGUGCGCGCCACGUGUGCACCACGUGGUGCACCGCCCCUUUUCCCCGGUCCAUGGACCCGAUCCACCAUGGACCAGCGCCCGCAGCCACUGCCAUGUGGGGCCCGCAUGUCGGCGUCGCCUCUCUCUCUCUCUCCCGGGAUUUAUUUAUUGCGCAAUAAAUAAAUUAAGGAUUUUUUUCUGUUAUAGUAAAAAUACAGUGAAUCUUCUAAAAUCAUAUCUAAUUCAUCCGAGCUCCGUUUAAGCCCAUUCAAGUCUCAGUAAUCAAGAAAAAUGUAUAGAAUCCAUUAAAAAUGGUUUUGUUCUCUGUUUCAGUAGUCUUGUAGCCUGUUUGUAUUGUUUGCUUUCUAUGUCGUCUAGAUUCCGGCUCUCCCGACGCUCCGGUGUACUUUGAAAUAGUCGCCGAGGUUCCUCCAGUAGCAGAGCAAGGCAAGUCAUGCUUGUCACUUGAACAUGUUGAUCCUAUAUUGGAAAUGCUCCAUUGUUUUCCUUCAAAUACUGCAUUGUUUUAUACUGUUACCAUGGGAUGUUUACCUACUGUUAUAGCCAUGCUAUUUUGUACCAUGUUCCUUUGUUAGCUUGGGAUAUAACAUGAUUAGAUAUUGGACUAGGGAUUGCUUAGCCAUGCUUAGUUCAACUAGCACACAAUGGGGGAAAUCAUAUUAAUGGAUAGACUUCAGGUUCUAGUGUUGAUGUUGGGUUAGAGCCACCGUCCUGGUGUCGCUUCAUUAAAAUAUGUUAAAUGGUGGGCUGUGGGUGCAUGGUUUUGCUAGUCGCGCCCAUGGCACUUAAGGACCAGUUCGCGGGAAACCCUGGAAGAAUUCCUCGUACUUACCACAAGCCAGCGUGGGCAACGGCUGGGCUUGUAGUGUAGCUUUCCUCUAGCUGACGCAUCCAGGCAAGGGUGGGCGUGAUGGAGUUUGGAUGGGCCCUGCGACGGCCUAUGCGGCUUCCGGAUUCACCUAGGCACGAGAGGGGACUGCUCGCUGCCUUGCGAGGAGUGGGGGUGAAACCUGAGGUGUAGUGUGCUUGGUUAGAGGGGGUUAUGCGAAGGGUCCUAUCACGGCCUCUAUCCGGUAUGUCGUGGUGGCAUGUCGGCGCACGAAAACGUAUCGUGGGGCUGUGUCUUGUGUGUACAGUUGUACACCUCUGAUAAGAGUAAAACUAUUCGAAUAGCCGUGCCCGCGGUUAUGGGCGGUCAACCAGAUUCACCGUGAUUAGAUUCACCCUAGUCUAGUCUAAUGGAAUUGAAUAGUAUAGGUGGAUGGUUGGGCCUGUUGCAACAUGGUAUAGCGUUGGACAGUGGAUGAUUAAUAUUGAUUAAUUAUUAUAAUUGUUUUACUGCUUCCAACUACUGUUUAUAAAUGCUCGCUUUAUGCAAAUGAACCUCUAUAACUAUCCCUUGAUAAUUCCCUGCAUCAUACCCCUAUUCCGGUAUGACUUGCUGAGUACAGUGGGUAGUACUCAGUCUUGCUCUAUUUUCCCCAAACCCCAGAGUUUGAGUAUGCGUUAGAUGGUGGCUUCUCCGAGGAGUAGGCUUCGUCCGUGCCGUCAAGGAUGCUUGUGGAGUGGUGAUCCCGCUGCGGUCCAAGUCAUGGCUUAGCUCCAGUUAUCUUUUAAUUUUCCGUUGCAUUUAUGUAAGGCUUUAUGAUGUUUGUAAGACGUGGAUCUGUAUGUCAAUUUUGUCGUUUGUGUACCCCGGCCGGUCCUGGACGGGGGUUUUAAUGCACAUUCUGCUUGGAAUCCUAUUCGGGAAUUUCUGGGCGUGACAGAGGGGUUGGCGGCCGCCGCGGCAGCAAUGGAGCUGACGACGACGCUGCCGGAUCUAGCAGCUCCUCCCAUCCCCUCCCCUCCCUUUCCUCUCCCUCUCCUAGAUCUAGCCGGAGGGAGGGGCAGCGGCCGCCGCGGCGGCGACGGCAGGCGGGCAGCGGCGGAGCUGACGACGACGACGCUGCCGGAUCUGGCGGCUUCUCGCCUCCCCUUCCCUCCCCUCCCUCUCCUUCUCCCAGAUCUAGCCGAAUGGAGGGGGUGGUGGCCCCCGCGGCACCGAUGGCAGGCGGGCGGCGGUGGAGCUGACGACGAUGACCGCGACCGCGGUGACGGGGCCGAUGGUGGCGGUGGCUAUGUCGCGGGAGGGGACGGGGCCGAUGGUGGCUAGGGUUCCAUUGCUAGAUGUGAUUUUUUUUGUGCAUGUUGUUCCAGAUGAUGCCUAUGUUGUGAUUUGUAUUUCAUGUUUGAUUUGUGUAAAUGAUGUUUGAUCUGUGUAAAUGAUUUGUAUUUCAAAUUUCCUCUUUGCUGGUGGCUAGGGCAGCUGCAUUGGGUCUUUUUUUCUUGGCCCAAAAUAGAUUUUCGCUGGCGGUUGAUGCCGCCAGCAAAAAUGAAUUAUCGCUGGCAGUCGGUGUAAGACAUCCGCCAGUGAAAAUGGAUCUUUGCUGCCUUGCUGGCGGAUGGCUUAAGACGGCUACUAGUGAAAUUGAAUUAUCGCUAGCAGUCGAUAACCGCCAGCGAAGAUCUUGUUUUUCACUUGCCUUUGCUUUGUGGUGUCUCCAAAUUCCGCUAACGAAAACCCAAAAUGGCCACCACGAAAGAUGGUUUUCGUAGUAGUGUACAAUAUAUCACAACUAAUACCCAAACCCCAAUAUUAAUUUACUCUCACAUCUUCUUUCACUUUUCUUAGAGAUUGUGUGGAGGUUGCCCCUUGCACGAGAUGUGGCUCAUUCUCUUUCUCCUAACUUCUCUCCUUCACCUCAUCGUAUAAUCCUAUAUACAUGUAGAGGCUUGUAGUACUUCGCCCUCACACGCUCAAGAGAUGGCAAAUUGGCAAUCCAAUGAUAAAUCCUUAGACCUCAUUAAAUUCCUAUUGAACACUCAUCCGUCUGUGUGUAAUCACGAGCAUUAAGAUUUUAAUAUGGUUGGUGGCUCAUCACUCUACUAUGACACAAUUAACUUAGAGACCUAGGCUUUGUUUGGAACAAAUCUUUCCCAAGUUCUAUCUUUUUCUUCCACGCAAUGCUAAGCUGCUAAAUGAUGGGUUUUGAAAAAAAAUAUAGGAAAGUUACUUUAAAAUAUAAUAUUAAUCUAUUUUAAGUUUUAAAACAAUACUUACCUCGUUUUCCACGUCAAUAAGAUGGGUUCGAAACGUGCACUCUCGUACUCAGCCUUAUCAUGUUAAUUUUGUGUUAAUAUAUUGUUUGCUAAGAGAAUUAAUACUUGCUGGCGAAGAGGCAACGCAUCAUCCUUUACAAAACAGCUAGUGAUUCUCGCAACAGACUGCAUGCUUUCAACUAUUUAUCUAAUAAACUUGUCCAUUCAUCAGAAAAAAUAGAAGAGAAAAUCCUUUGCCGGGAUCUCGGUAGUGGAUUGUGAAUCAUCCAUGUGUGGGUUCAACUCCCGUAGUUCGCCCAUCACUUUAUUUUAAAUUCCAUAAAUAUAAUUUUCUAUAUACCUAAUUAUUUUUUUAUUCAUUUAUUCAUUUAUUGAACAUAUAAGAUAUAAGUAUUGCAUGCCAAACAAAUGAAUUUUGCAUUACUAGAAUUAACCCAUGUUUUCUUUUUUUUAAAAAAAAGUAGAGAAUCAACCCAUGUGUUUUGUGCACAAUUCUUGAAUUCCAAACUACUAGACUUUAAAUUAGGCGUGACUUUUGACUCGAACGCUUCAAUUUUCUUAAGAUAAUGGACGAAAGUCUGCCUUCAAUUCAACAAAAGCUACAACCAAUUAUUACAUAAUUAUUGGCUUAAAGCCCCGAAACUUAGCUACCAUAAAAUGAAAUGGAAGACAAAUAACAACUCCACCAAAAGAAGUGAUAUAACUUAUUCAAACAACAAUCCUAUUAGAAAAUAGGCAUCCAAAGUCGGCGAAAAUUUGCAUAAUUGUAAUUUCUAAAUUUAGGCAUGGAUUCCUUCUCCUCAUCACUCAUUUGUAGAUUUGCCCAAAAUCAAAGCUAAUAUGUUUCUCUAAGAGUAACUGCAUAUAAGAUUUAGUUGGAGUUUUAUAAAAAAAAUUAUAUCAUUCCUACUUAGCCAUAGAACCUAACAUAAAGUAGAUGCUCCUACUUAUAUAAUUUUUUUUGUUUUUGAGUCUAUGUAAACAAGCCAAUUUAGGGGUGGCAACGGGGCGGGCGAACUAGGCUGGAACGCCCCCACCCUCACAAAGGCAAUGAGUGAAAAACAUCACCCACCUCCACCCCCGCACAGGACCCGGCGGGUGAGCAUGGCCCCGCAUUGCCAACAUAAUUAUAAAUCACAAAAAUAGACCUCAAAUUGCUUCUGAUAGCAAUUCAGAGAGAGGCGCGGUUGCGCGGAGAAGGGCGGUGAACAGCAGGGCUGGGUGGUGGAGAUGGAGGUGGGGCGGUGGCCGUGACGGUGAUAGCCCCUAGCAGUGGUGAUCCAGAUCCAGAGGCCGACGGAGGAGAGUGGCACCGCAGGAAGGAAGCACAUGCAUUCUACCCGAGCGUAGGUGGAGGGCG
RNAcentral lists this long non-coding RNA (30861 nucleotides) under Oryza sativa (Asian cultivated rice). RNAcentral's name for it is "long non-coding RNA (OSAT_LNC001843)". Lineage: Eukaryota; Viridiplantae; Streptophyta; Magnoliopsida; Poales; Poaceae. The record is from RNAcentral.